GGGCCGUUAGCUCAGUUGGUAGAGCAGGUGACUCUUAAUCACUCGGUCCGCAGUUCGAGUCUGCGACGGCCCACCA
RNAcentral lists this transfer RNA (76 nucleotides) under Lysobacterales bacterium. RNAcentral describes it as "tRNA-Lys". It matches the Rfam family "tRNA". From Rfam's summary of the family: Transfer RNA (tRNA) molecules are approximately 80 nucleotides in length. Their secondary structure includes four short double-helical elements and three loops (D, anti-codon, and T loops). The record is from RNAcentral. Lineage: Bacteria; Pseudomonadati; Pseudomonadota; Gammaproteobacteria; Lysobacterales. RNAcentral also lists the same sequence under 1 other name.